GGGCCCGUAGCCUAGUGGACAGGGCACCAGCCUUCUAACAUAUUUUAAGGUAGAUAGCUGGUGAUCGCGGGUUCAAAUCCCGCCGGGUCCG
RNAcentral lists this transfer RNA (91 nucleotides) under Candidatus Methanohalarchaeum thermophilum. It matches the Rfam family "tRNA". Rfam says of the family: Transfer RNA (tRNA) molecules are approximately 80 nucleotides in length. Their secondary structure includes four short double-helical elements and three loops (D, anti-codon, and T loops). Further hydrogen bonds mediate the characteristic L-shaped molecular structure. tRNAs have two regions of fundamental functional importance: the anti-codon, which is responsible for specific mRNA codon recognition, and the 3' end, to which the tRNAs corresponding amino acid is attached (by aminoacyl-tRNA synthetases). tRNAs cope with the degeneracy of the genetic code in two manners: having more than one tRNA (with a specific anti-codon) for a particular amino acid; and 'wobble' base-pairing, i.e. permitting non-standard base-pairing at the 3rd anti-codon position. Lineage: Archaea; Methanobacteriati; Methanobacteriota; Methanonatronarchaeia; Methanonatronarchaeales; Methanonatronarchaeaceae. The record is from Rfam by way of RNAcentral.